Molecule: ribosomal RNA, 498 nt
Filed under: uncultured bacterium
Lineage: Bacteria
Description: partial 16S ribosomal RNA
Rfam family: Bacterial small subunit ribosomal RNA
Source: RNAcentral
GACGAACGCUGGCGGCGUGCCUAAUACAUGCAAGUCGAACGAGAGCGACCGGUGCUUGCACUGGUCAAUCUAGUGGCGAACGGGUGAGUAACACGUGGGUAACCUGCCCAUCAGAGGGGGAUAACAUCCGGAAACGGAUGCUAAAACCGCAUAGGUCUUCGAGCCGCAUGGCUUGAAGAGGAAAAGAGGCGCAAGCUUCUGCUGAUGGAUGGACCCGCGGUGCAUUAGCUAGUUGGUGAGGUAACGGCUCACCAAGGCCGUGAUGCAUAGCCGACCUGAGAGGGUGAUCGGCCACAUUGGAACUGAGACACGGCCCAGACUCCUACGGGAGGCAGCAGUAGGGAAUCUUCCGCAAUGGACGCAAGUCUGACGGAGCAACGCCGCGUGAGUGAAGAAGGUUUUCGGAUCGUAAAACUCUGUUGUUAGAGAAGAACAAGUGCUAGAGUAACUGUUAGCGCCUUGACGGUAUCUAACCAGAAAGCCACGGCUAACUACGUG